CCUACGGGUGGCAGCAGUGAGGAAUAUUGGUCAAUGGACGAGAGUCUGAACCAGCCAAGUAGCGUGAAGGAUGACUGCCCUAUGGGUUGUAAACUUCUUUUAUAUGGGAAUAAAAUGUUCCACGUGUGGGAUUUUGUAUGUACCAUAUGAAUAAGGAUCGGCUAACUCCGUGCCAGCAGCCGCGGUAAUACGGAGGAUCCGAGCGUUAUCCGGAUUUAUUGGGUUUAAAGGGAGCGUAGGUGGAUUGUUAAGUCAGUUGUGAAAGUUUGCGGCUCAACCGCAAAAUUGCAGUUGAAACUGGCAGUCUUGAGUACAGUAGAGGUGGGCGGAAUUCGUGGUGUAGCGGUGAAAUGCUUAGAUAUCACGAAGAACUCCGAUUGCGAAGGCAGUUCACUGGACUGCAACUGACACUGAGGCUCGAAAGUGUGGGUAUCAAACAGGAUUAGAUACCCGUGUAGUC
This 460-nucleotide ribosomal RNA is filed under the name uncultured bacterium. Its description in RNAcentral is "partial 16S ribosomal RNA". It matches the Rfam family "Bacterial small subunit ribosomal RNA", at positions 338 to 795 of the family's 1533-position model. The record is from RNAcentral.